This 254-nucleotide ribosomal RNA is filed under the name uncultured bacterium. Its description in RNAcentral is "partial 16S ribosomal RNA". It matches the Rfam family "Bacterial small subunit ribosomal RNA", at positions 524 to 776 of the family's 1533-position model. The record is from RNAcentral.
UACGUAGGCAGCGAGCGUUGUUCGGAGUUACUGGGCGUAAAGGGUGUGUAGGCGGUUGUUUAAGUUUGGUGUGAAAUCUCCCGGCUCAACUGGGAGGGUGCGCCGAAUACUGAAUGACUUCGAGUGCGGGAGAGGAGAGUGGAAUUCCCGGUGUAGCGGUGAAAUGCGCAGAUAUCGGGAAGAACACCCGUGGCGAAGGCGGCUCUCUGGGACGGUACUGACGCUGAGACGCGAAAGCGUGGGGAGCGAACAGG